UACAGAGGUCUCAAGCGUUGUUCGGAUUCAUUGGGCGUAAAGGGUGCGUAGGCGGCGCGGUAAGUCGGAUGUGAAAUCUCGGAGCUUAACUUCGAAACUGCAUUCGAUACUGCCGUGCUUGAGGACUGGAGAGGAGACUGGAAUUUACGGUGUAGCGGUGAAAUGCGUAGAUAUGUGGAGGAAUACCGAUGGCGAAGGCAGCCCCCUGGGAUAACACUGACGCUCAUGCACGAAAGCGUGGGGAGCAAACAGG
Molecule: ribosomal RNA, 253 nt
Filed under: uncultured bacterium
Lineage: Bacteria
Description: partial 16S ribosomal RNA
Rfam family: Bacterial small subunit ribosomal RNA
Source: RNAcentral